RNAcentral lists this ribosomal RNA (257 nucleotides) under uncultured bacterium. Its description in RNAcentral is "partial 16S ribosomal RNA". It matches the Rfam family "Bacterial small subunit ribosomal RNA", at positions 524 to 776 of the family's 1533-position model. The record is from RNAcentral.
UACGUAGGGGGCUAGCGUUGUCCGGAAUCAUUGGGCGUAAAGAGCGUGUAGGCGGUCCGGUAAGUCCGCUGUGAAAGUCGGGGGCUCAACCCUCGAAUGCCGGUGGAUACUGUCGGGCUAGAGUGUGGUAGGGGAGACUGGAAUUCCUGGUGUAGCGGUGAAAUGCGCAGAUAAUCAGGAGGAACACCGAUGGCGAAGGCAGGUCUCUGGGGCCCACUACCUGACGCUGAGAAGCGAAAGCAUGGGGAGCGAACAGG